UGUUCGAGGGGCUCGCUGAUGAAUGUUCUGGAGUAGCCCUGACCCUGCUUAACAUGAGUUGUUCCUGUGAAGUUCCUUAAGGACACCAUGGUCUGCUCAUCUUUCUACUUCCAGAUCUGGAAUAGUUGAGACCAAGUAAGUGUUGAAUUGGAAGUUUCCAGGGGUUCUGGAAGCCAGACUGCCUUGGGUCCAGAGCCUCCUUGUGGCAUAAAGUUCCUGGUGGUCCCUGGGUAGAAACUCCAUUUCUUUGGGUCUCAGUUCUGUUGUCUGGAGAAUACUAGCACAUACCUCAGAGGGUGAUGGUAAAGAUGAAAUGAAUGUAUACAUUCAAAGGACACAGAUCAGCGGGAACUAGAGAAACAUUCGCUGUUAUUAUUAAGCAGGGUUAAUAAAUGGUUCAAUUCAACACACAUCAGUCGAAUAUCUGUCUUCCACCAGGGUGAUGGAGGGCACACGCAGGUCUGUCAUGGGCCAGGCAUUGUGCUUGGUUGUGAAUAUCAGCCUAAACGGGACCCAGUCUCUGCCUUUUUGGGGGUUCAUAUAGUAAGAGAUUCAGAUAAUCUUUUAUAACGUGGUCCUGGAAACUCCACGCGGGAGGUCUCGGGCAGGUGGAAAUUAUUUCCUAAAAAAGUGGGGUCGAAACUGAUAGAAACUCUUUACGCUUCUUGGGGAACGUGAGGAAUCAAGAUCCAUUCAGGUUGUAAUGGCAUUUGAUUUUGUUUGCUUGAAAUGUGAGGUAUUUAAGGAACAGCAGUUGCAGGUUUGGGGAUGAGCACUCAUGACCGGGGGGAGUGGUUGCACAGACCACAGCCUUGCGGUCCCCAUCCGUGGUCUCUGUUUUAAGGCUCACUUGGGUGUCCUGUGUGUCUUAGCUUUUGCAUCCAAACGAGCACCAUCUCUGGGGUUCCAGAGUGUUGCUUUAUCUUUUGAAACAUUUCUUCCUCUUCUAGACACUUCUUCACAAGCUUCCUGUUGCCAUCAGAACCGACACAUCCUGCAGAGGCUUCCGGCUCAUGGAUCAAGCGUGUGCAACAGUGCUCUGGGGGCCCAGCCGGGAGAGUGUGGGAGGCGGCGCAGGGUGUGAUGAGCCUAGGCCCCACGUUACACCAUGAAGUUUCAAAUCUGGUUCCGCUGAUCACCAGCAGUGAAGGUUGGUAACUCCCUCUGGGUCUCGGUUGUCUCAUCUGUAUAACAUGGACAUCAGCACCUAAGUCAUGGGUUUUUUUUUUUUCACCUUAUCCUCUUUUACUGCACGCCUCCCCGUUGGUCUGCAGGGGGCGCCAUUGAGCUGUAUUCGCCACGUUCCAGGCCGCCGAAACCGCACAAUUUGAAAUCACAUACCAUGAAAAGAAAAAGAAAAGACUCAAACGCUGAGAUCCAAACUGCGAAGACUUUGGUCUUUAUGAGAAAACAGCUCUUGAAAAACAAAAUUUCUCCCCUGCAGGAAUGAGAGGAUUUCUCAGAAGUCAAGUCUCUUGUAAUGUGUGUCAUGUCUUUUCUUUCCUCCAUGUACUUAAAAAAAAAAACAACUAUAUAGCUACGUCAAAACACACACACAGAGGCACACACUCACACACAUACGCGCACACACGCGCACCCGCGCACACACACACACACACACACUCACACAACUCUGGAGACAGUAUCAAUGUCAGACUCCGCAGCCUUAACCUUGUCAGGAAAGGUGUUUUCUAGCCCGACCGUCCAUCCACAGAAUAAAACAAAUGUUUGCCUCUGGUUAAUGCUAACA
This 1750-nucleotide long non-coding RNA is filed under the name Felis catus (domestic cat). RNAcentral describes it as "lncRNA (ENSFCAG00000052644.1)". Lineage: Eukaryota; Metazoa; Chordata; Mammalia; Carnivora; Felidae. The record is from RNAcentral.